ACAGAUCGUUCAGAGUUUGAUCCUGGCUCAGGAUGAACGCUGGCGGCGUGCUUAACACAUGCAAGUCGAACGAGGUUAUUACAGUUGAAGUUUUCGGAUGGAUACAGUUUUAACCGAGUGGCGGACGGGUGAGUAACGCGUGGGGAACCUGCCCCAUUCCGGGGGAUACCAGUUGGAAACGACUGUUAAUACCGCAUAAGCGCACGGUACCGCAUGGUACGGUGUGAAAAACUCCGGUGGAAUGGGAUGGCCCCGCGUCUGAUUAGGCAGUUGGCGGGGUAACGGCCCACCAAACCGACGAUCAGUAGCCGACCUGAGAGGGUGACCGGCCACAUUGGGACUGAGACACGGCCCAA
This 356-nucleotide ribosomal RNA is filed under the name uncultured bacterium. RNAcentral describes it as "bacterial SSU rRNA". It matches the Rfam family "Bacterial small subunit ribosomal RNA", at positions 1 to 334 of the family's 1533-position model. The record is from RNAcentral.